RNAcentral lists this ribosomal RNA (371 nucleotides) under uncultured organism. RNAcentral describes it as "bacterial SSU rRNA". It matches the Rfam family "Bacterial small subunit ribosomal RNA", at positions 526 to 896 of the family's 1533-position model. The record is from RNAcentral.
CAGAGGGUGCAAACGUUGUUCGGAAUACUGGGCGUAAAGCGCGUGUAGGCGGCUUGGCAAGUCGGGUGUGAAAGCCCUGGGCUCAACCUAGGAAGUGCACUCGAAACUGCUUCGCUUGAGUGUCGGAGAGGAAAGCGGAAUUCUCGGUGUAGAGGUGAAAUUCGUAGAUAUCGAGAGGAACACCGGUGGCGAAGGCGGCUUUCUGGACGAUAACUGACGCUGAGACGCGAAAGCGUGGGGAGCAAACAGGAUUAGAUACCCUGGUAGUCCACGCCGUAAACGAUGGGUGCUAGGUGUCGCGGGCUUUGACUCCUGCGGUGCCGUAGCUAACGCAUUAAGCACCCCGCCUGGGGAGUACGGCCGCAAGGCUA